UCUAUCCAAACUUCUAACUGUCAUUUAACUGUCAUUGUACAAGUAAAGCUCCUGUGAGGUCCCCAAAUCAAUGUACUUCUGCAGUCAUAAGAAGCUCAAAUUUGCCACAUAAGACCUCAAUAGCCAUCAUAUAAGUUUGAUACAUUGAGAGAUCAUCAACAUGAAGAUUUUCAGCAAGCUGUCAAAAACCCAAGACUAGACUUCAUGGGAGAGCAGCAGAGGACCCUAAAGAGACUACACUCUUGAAAACCAGCAGAUGAUAACAGAGAGCAGCUGAGAGACCAUCCAGAGAUGGAGUGGAGAAUACUGGUACUAAGCCUAGCCCAGUAAAGAGGCCUCAGUACCCAGGAGAAAUGUAAUGUGUAUCAGAGAGCUCCAAGAUAAAGCAGUGCCCAGCAUUAGAAAAUAGCACAGAAACAUUUCCAGACAACCUGGAUCUUCACUGCAAGAGAUUUGGUUCAACACAAGCUGUUCACUUGAAGCACCGAUUGAAUCUCAGCAUCCAUUCCUACUGUGGCUAGAUCAGAGCAAGAGGAAGCUCAUCCCUGGGGUCCCUGAGUGCUGGUGAAAAUCCUGAAGUUAAUAUGUAGAACAGGACUCUGAUGGAAACCCAUGUGCCAGUGGACAGCUUGGAAAGAAUGUUCUUUAUGAAGGUUUGAUGAAGAUGAAUCAGUCAAAUAAAAACAUUUCUGACUAGCAGCAACAUUUGUCCUCAGGUAAAGGAGCAGAGUUGUGAACACCACCAGAACCCAGACCACCUAGCAUGAAAUGACCAACAGAUGACUCCACCACAUACCCCUCCCUGCUCCCAGCCCAGCCCAGCCUUCUCUGAAAUCUCAGAAGGAAGAAAUUCAGAAAGUAUUUUUUUAGAUGUAAUAGGGAACAUGCCCACCAUCCCCAGGGUGUCUGCUUCAAAGUAGCUAAUGCCUGGGCUGUUGUCAACUGGCCCUCACUACCAGGGCACCAGAUGGGCUGCUGGGAUUCUAGGGGUGAGAAAAGAAGCCAAGAUGGAUUCGUCUUCUUAACAUCCCCUUAUUGAAUACAGACAGAGAUUGUGACUGAUUGAUUGAGCACUCCAUGUGCUGCCCUCCUGCCACCACGUCUGCUUUGAUGUAGGAUCCUUCAUUAUGAUUGUUUUGUCACCCACUCAAUCCUGAGGAUUAGAGCAGGGAUGUAGCUCCUGGAAACCUUGAGAUUAAGAGAGAAUUCUGUGUCAGGUGCUCUCUUCACACUGGAUGCCAUGGGACAUACCAUAGAUUCCCUCACCAGAGAUUGCUACCAUGCCUAUUGUGUCUGUUUCAAAGCGUGUGGUAUAUGGGGGUUGUUCACACUUCUCCCUCCCUGCCAGGUCAGAUUGGGGAGAGACUGACUUACUAGAUUCCUCAGCCCAAUGGAUACAUAAAAGAAAAAGUCUGGUCUGGAACCUACCCAGCUCCCUCUGUUCCCCUCACCAGAUCUCCGCUAAUCCUAUGAUGUCAGCUUCAAAGAGGGAGCCUCUGAACAGUUGGUUACUGAUAGUGAGAUGGAGAGUGAGAUUGAUGUCCUGCAUCCUCAGAGUCAGGCCCCAGGUGACAUUCCUGUUGCUGCUGAUCAUGACCUGAUUGGCAAGAUGAAGAUGAUAUGGCUCUGAACUUUAGCAACACUCUUGUUGUUGAUCCCUUGUCACCCUGAGUGCUGACCACAGCUGGAUUCGGGACACUGGAGGCUGGGCUCUGCAAGCUGAAGGAGGAUGAUCUGAUAGAGGGAGAGAUGGAAUACUCCCCAGCACCUCCCUUCCUUUUUUCCUAACACUCCAAGACAGGUUACUCCCCAGAACCCCUAGCUGCCAGGCCAGGGAAGGUGGACCCCUCUAAGAACCAUCCUUCAUCUGACUGUCCCCAGAGGGUGGGUGAAGGGGUCUGAGGUUUCUGUGUGGAAAGGGACAAAGAAACACAUGUAUCUAUAUGCUUCUUAGGAUGAAUGAUCCUUAUAAUUGAUCCUUAUGAGGAAAUGAAGGAAUCAAAUAAAGCAUUUGUUUCCUGGGGAAGAAGGAAGAGAGCUGUGAAUGAUUGCCAUGAGAAGCAGAUGGAAUUUACGACCGGCUUCCCCUCCACCCAACCCCACCACAUGAUAUCCCUUUCUCAGCCUCUGCCAGAGCCCAGAAGAAAGAGAUCUGGCAUACAUCCCACAAGAGCCAUGGGAAUAUGGCUGAUGCCUAUGUGAAAACUGGGACCUUGUCCAUUGUCCCCAUGAUAUCUCCUUCAAAGUAGCUAAUCCCUGGACUGUUUCUCCUUUCCCCGCAGUGCUAGGGUACCAGAGUGGCUGCUGGGCCUCUGAAGAUGUGUCGAGACCAUUCUUGGUUGUUCCCCUUAGGCAAGCCAAAUACAGAACAGAGACUGUAACUUGCUGGGUUUCCAUGAGCUGCCCUCAUGAGAUUCUGUCUGCUUAGAUCUAGUUCCAUUCUGUCUGGAAUGCUUUCCCACCCUCUCAGUGCAUUUGCAAGUACAUAGCUGACUGAAAUCUUGACAUUAGGAGACAGGCUUUUGUCAGCUGCUUUACUCAGACUCUGGGGGAUAGAAAUUCAAUAGAACCCAGAUCCCUGCAUCUUUCUGAUGUCUGCUUUAAACAGGGAGUAUUUAAACAGCGGCUUACUACCAGAGUGGGAAGGAGAGAGAGACUGACUGCUUACAUACCGGAGGCAAGGCUCUUCUUGAAGCAGUUGACCAUGGCCUUAUUGACAAAAUAAAGAUGGCAUGGCUCUGGACUUUACGAACAAGUGUAUUUGGUGGUGUUCCCUCCUGUUGUUGAUCCUGGGCUACUAUGGCCACUGAUCAAAGCUGGGUUCUAGAAACUGUGGGCUGGGCCCUCCAGUCUGAAGGAGGACGGUCAGUAGAUGGAUGGAUAAACAAAGGAGGUCUUCAAGAUCUCUCCUUUCUUUUCCCCUAAUCAGGCCUCCAAUACCCUUCCAAGAUAGGCUGCUUCCCCAGAAACACUGACUGAAGCCCUCUGCAUUUUCACCCUAUGCAAAGGGAGGAAGGUUCCAACCGAGGACAAUCCAUUACCUGUGUGACCUCUGAGAGUGGGUGUGGUUUCUGUUAGGAGAGGGAGACAUAUGUACCAUUGGACAUUUUAGGGGAAUGAUCCUUAGGAAGGACUAAGGAAAAUGCACCAAGUAAAGUAUUCCUGACUAGUAGCAGCAUUUGACUUCAGUAAGAUAAAUAGAACUGUGAACAGUGUUGGGACCUAAAUCACUUUGACAGGUAUGUGAAGCAGAUGGAGUUUACAACCUGCCACCCCUGCUCCCAACUUCAUCACAGGAUGACCCCUUCACAGUGUCCACUCAAAAUCUCAGAAGAAAUAGAUUUGGCAAACAGACUUCAAGGGCAUUGUGAAACAAAUGCCCAAUUAGAGACAAGGAUUUUGUCCAUCAUCCCCAGGAUGUCUGCUUCAAAGUAGCUAAUGCCUGAACUGUUCCUUAUUCCCCUCAGUGCAAGGGCACUAAGGUGGCUGUUGGGACCCUGGAGAUGUGUAACCAGGCCAGUCUUGAUUGGUCAUCUUCAUAUACUCAUACAGGGCAGAGGCAAGGAUUUGAUGGAGACUCUAUGUGCUGUCCUCACGAGAUCUCUACAUAAACCUCUUAAUUUAGUCAUCUUCAGUCUCAAUUGUUUUUCCAUACUCCCAGCCUCCAAGACCAGAUCAAGGAAGUACUUGCUGGGAACCUUGAGAUUAGGAGAAAUGGGUCUCUCAGUUACUCUCCUCGGACUAUGUGGAAUGGAAACUUCCUUUCCUACCUUCUCAAGAGUUAUGCUCAUCGUGUCUGUUUGAAAGCAUUGUGUCUGGGCUAUUCAGCCUUACCCUUCCCUAUCUGGUCAAGUUGGGAAAAGACUGAUCUCCUGAAUCCUUAUAAAAAAGAAACUCUUGACUUGGGGUCUUCCUCUUUCUUCCACAUUUACCAGGUCCCUGCAAUCCUCAUGAGCCAGUCUCUUACCAGUUGCUAACUAUACAGAUGGGAUGGAGACAAACUGUCCACUAAAUCUUCAGGGCCAGAUCUGCUCUGGGGCUGUUGAUGCUGUUCUGCCCACUGCUUUGAUAGUCCAUUUUCCCUUCCUGGUCUUAUUUCCAUCUUCUGUAUGUAAAAAAAAACAAUUAAAGUUAGCUGGGAAGUUUGUCGUGUAUUCAUGAUAUUGAAGAAGACAUGACCAUCUUUUUUUCCAAUAUUUUAUUUUUCCAAAUACAUGUAAAAAUAAUCUUCAA
Long non-coding RNA from Sarcophilus harrisii (Tasmanian devil), 4233 nucleotides. RefSeq lists it as uncharacterized. The record is from RefSeq and is a predicted model, not a curated record. The transcript has 3 exons. Lineage: Eukaryota; Metazoa; Chordata; Mammalia; Dasyuromorphia; Dasyuridae.